CUUUGCUUUUAUAAAUAAGGUUUACAAUUUUAUAGCUAAAACUAUCAUCUCAUCACUAAAAAUAUGAAUGUUACCAACAAAACAAAAAUGUCACUGUAAAUCGUCAUGAUUAGUGACAAUUACUAUUGUCAAAAAAUACAAAGAUAAUUUGUAGUCAAAGAAUAUAGCAUAUUAUUGAUAAGGCAAUUCUGGGACAAACACUAUUUUUUGUCACAUUAUGACAAACUAAUACGUCCUACAAUAAGAAUAUAAUUGUCUUGAAAAGUACAAUAUAAUCUAAUCAGGGUUGCAUCUUUCUUCUCUUUUGUGAGGUCCUUCCACUUGUUCGAGAAGUUAUUCCCAGCUCGUUUGAUAGCUUUGUUGAUGGAAUUGCCUUGAUUGACCUCCAUUUACCAACUCGAAUCUCUAAUACUUUUCUCCCAAAGACUUAUUUAUUUCUCAAGGCUUUUCUUCUAGCUUUUCUACAAUCUUCUUUGAUUCCAAUUGAAUCUGCAUUUAUUUAUGAAAAAAUCAAUUCAAAAGACUAUUUACAAUGCAAUAGUAAUAUAUAUAUAUAUAUAUAUAUAUGGAGCAUAUAUAUUAGUAGUAAUUUCUAAAUUACAACUGAAUUUUAUCAUUACAAACUUUAACAUAAGAGAAAGUUUACCAAGUCCUAGUAUAUCAUCACAAAGUUUAUAUCCACAAACUACUCUACAUGGCAGCAUAAACUAUAUCCAUAUAUUCGGUAUUACUAUCAAAAUGUAAGGUAACCUAUGUAGACUUUCUCACAUUAGACUCAAACCUGUUGUGAACUAAAAAAGCAAUUACAUGCAGUUAUUGUUUAUACCUUCAUUCAUUCAUUUUAUUGACAAGAAAAAAGAAGAUAGAAGUUUCAAAAAAUAAAAUCCAAGCAAUCGUUUAAACAAUGAGAUAGCAGCUAUAUAAACAACACUAAAGUGCUUUACCGAGUGGGAUAUAGAUUUUUUAACAGAUAAUUCAAUUGGACUCCUUUGACUUUAAUUUUAAUAUAUUGAAAUUAUCUACAGAAAAUUAACAAAGGAGCCAGAAGGUCUACAUGUCUACAAUAAGAACUUCAUUCAAUUCUCUGUGUCCCAAAACAGAAGGUUGUCAAGUUCAAUAGAAGUUGCCUAAAUUCAAAGAAUUAGGCAGGAAAAAAAACUCUACACCAGAUGAAUACAUCACCCAAUGACAUUAACUUAAAAAAUGCAUAUCACCAUACACAAGAGACCAUUGAAAGCAAACUAUGGUUUUCUAUUACCAAGAAAUGCACAGCCUUAGCUUUUCUAUAUUAGCAAAGAUGUUGCACAUGUGUUUUUAUACUUAUAAUGCUACACAACACAAGAUGCAAGCAUUCUUGUAAUAUUAUCUCUACCAAAAGCAAGGAAAUUAGGAGAGCACAUUGCUUAAACUAAAUUACUAAGAUUGUCCACUAAAGAGCUUUCAAAAAAGAGUUAAUACAUUUGAAACGAAGAAAUAAAGAAGCUUCAAACAAAUGAAUUUAAUGUAAUGCCAAUAUUAGGUACUGCCAAUAUUUCCUUUCCUACAACAAUUUGGUCAACUUCUAUAUGAAUAUGAACAUGAAUUCAUCUCCAAGUUCAUAUUUAGUGCUUAUCUCUAACAGAGUUCCUGAGGGUGUGCACUAAAUCCUUACUCUUCCCAGAAAAUGUAUCAUCGAAGAUGAAACUAGAGGGUAUAAAAUACAGCUAAACACAAUCAAAGAGCACAGAUCACCGUGGAAACAGAGCUUCAACCUCCAAACAUUACUCUAAUAUACAAAAACUCGUAUUGCCUAUGCAAAUAGAGGGAUGAUAUCCAUAGUGAAAUACUUGUCUAGUAACAAUUUCUAAAGGAAAAGGACAUACACAAGAAUUAGGACGAAGCUUGCUAUUCUCCAAAAUGUAACCUACUAUGAGAACAACUGAAACUUAAAUAAAACUAGCUUAGAGUUUCAAGCCCUAAUUUUACUUUGAUGGAAUUGUAACCCUGUAACCGGGCACUGAAAGAAUUUUGUCGAACGAGAUAACUAGUCAAGAGAAUAAUAUAAUAGAAAUAUUGAUGAAAGUAGAAAGAAAUAGUGUGCUUGUGAAAAACUCACUUGAAGGAAAAGAGAAGCCUGACUAUCGUGAAAAUGGCGUCAAACGGAUCUACGUCGCAAAGCUCUGCCGUUUCUGCAGAACCCUCCAAAGCAUGCCACAACCUAUAAUUAUACUUGGAAAAAGUUAAUCCUUUUUGAAUUGAAACAUGAAUUGAGAAUACUGAUUUUUAUAAUUAAAUCUUUGAUUUCUUCAGGAAAAUUCUCAGAUCUAGCAUUCUGAGUCAUUAAGUUUUUCUCUCUAGGGAUGAUGCAUUCGAAUUGCGAAAAAUAUGUUUACAUGAGAAAUCAAAGCCCUAAACGUGAAAUAACUGUAACUAGAGAGAGGAAGAAGCUUAACAUUUCAAACCCUAACUUGGAUUGAGGGAAGGCCGAGUAACCUACUUAGCAGCUCUGAAGUUUGGUGAAUUGGAAGUUUGGAACAAAAGAGGGACGGGUUAGGCAAAAAAAAGAGGGAAAUUUUGCCGCCUAACAUUUUUGCGAAAGAAUUGAACCAACAAUGUAAAUAUUUUUGGUAACAAUGGAAAUAUAUUGUUGCUAAUUUAUUUUGUAUUUAAAUUUUAUUAUAAUACCCACAAAAUAUGGCAACAAGAUCAAAAUAUUUGGUAAC
This 2702-nucleotide long non-coding RNA is filed under the name Nicotiana tabacum (common tobacco). RNAcentral's name for it is "long non-coding RNA (NTAB_LNC009298)". Lineage: Eukaryota; Viridiplantae; Streptophyta; Magnoliopsida; Solanales; Solanaceae. The record is from RNAcentral.